GUGGAUUAGAUACCCUGGUAGUCCACGCCCUAAACGAUGAUUACUCGAUGUUAGCGAUAUACAGUUAGCGUCAAAGCGAAAGCGUUAAGUAAUCCACCUGGGGAGUACGCCGGCAACGGUGAAACUCAAAGGAAUUGACGGGGGCCCGCACAAGCGGAGGAGCAUGUGGUUUAAUUCGAUGAUACGCGAGGAACCUUACCCGGGCUUGAAAGUUAGUGAAUGAUACAGAAAUGAAUCAGUCCGCAAGGACACGAAACUAGGUGCUGCACGGCUGUCGCCAGCU
RNAcentral lists this ribosomal RNA (283 nucleotides) under uncultured bacterium. RNAcentral describes it as "partial 16S ribosomal RNA". It matches the Rfam family "Bacterial small subunit ribosomal RNA", at positions 773 to 1060 of the family's 1533-position model. The record is from RNAcentral.